This 327-nucleotide long non-coding RNA is filed under the name Daucus carota (carrot). Its description in RNAcentral is "long non-coding RNA (DCAR_LNC004114)". The record is from RNAcentral. Lineage: Eukaryota; Viridiplantae; Streptophyta; Magnoliopsida; Apiales; Apiaceae.
UUUUUGCUGAAAAGCCGGUAAAAAACUGUUUGGUAAAUCUAAAAGCAGCUUUCCCGAACAGCAGCUUUUAGCUGAAAAGCUGCUGUUAGAAAAAGCAGGUCCUCCCAUGCUUUUAGAAAAAGCUGCUUUUCAGUUUUUGCAGAAUGCUGUUAUAGAUUUCAUUAUAAAACCUCACCAAAAUCAUUAUUAUUUUUUAUAUUAUAACUCAAAAUAAGUAAAUUUCAAAAAAUUACCAAACAGUUAUCUGAUUUCUACAACAGCACUUAUUUUACCAGCACUUUUUCUGACAGCACAGCAAUUUUUAACAGCACUCCCAAACAGACCCUA